Molecule: RNA transcript, 4527 nt
Organism: Lolium perenne
Lineage: Eukaryota; Viridiplantae; Streptophyta; Magnoliopsida; Poales; Poaceae
Source: RefSeq, a predicted model, not a curated record
GGUCGCGAAAAGCCCCGCCUGGCCCGGUCGUGCCGCCAAUCAUGUGUCGCGCCUCUCCUCCCCAAUCCCAUCUCUGCCCGUCGCCCUCCCUGGCCCAAUCCUCCCUCGCCUCGUCGUCGCCGCCGUCGGGCUGCCCGGCGGAAGUAGCGCCGCCUCGUCGUCGCCAUCGCCGGCGGCUGCCGGUGGAGGCAGCAGGUCACCGCCUCGUCGCCGCUCUACCGCUGGAUGGCUCCGACCCGCGGCCGCGCCUCCGAUCCAAUCCCUGCAGCCGAGCUAUUCCUCGCAGCCGCCGCCUCUGGCCUCCAUCCCCGCCGCCGCAACGUGCCUUGCCGUGAGAUGGCAGGGGACGGCCGGACGGGGCGGAGAUGGCAGCCGGCAUCCGGCCGGAGGUUGGAGCAGCAGCAGCAGGGACGUUGACCACCGGAAUGGAGGAAGCAGGCCAGUGCACAGAUGGCCGGCGACAGGGAUCGAAGGUGCAGGGGCGCGGAACCUGGAGAAGGGACGCGGCGCGGGACCAGAAGGUGGAGAUCUCCUCCCCAACUCCGCCUCCGCUACAGUGUGGUUUCUCUCUUCCUAGGAGGUCGGCAUGGUGUCCAUGGCCAAGGACAGUGCGCUCCACCUCCUCCCCUCCCCACAUACCUGUGCUAGAUUGGUUCUCACUCCGCACAACAUUGCCCUCUAUGAAAAGGAGUAAUUGGUGCCCUCCCAUAUUUGUUGUGCACGUCAGAUGAUGAAGAUCCAUUGGUGUUUUUACUAUUCCUUGUGAUAUGGGGCAACAUGCUUAAUUUUAGGUAAUUUCCGUCAGAAAUCUCCACUAUGAUGCAUUUGGUUUCAGGUGUUAACUUCCUUAUAUAUAUUAUAUUAUUACAUCAUGUUUGUAAUGCGAGUUGGAACUUCAUCUGCAAGUUGAGAAUUCCUUUAUAGGUUUAUUAAAUGUGCCUUACCUAUCUUAUUUCACCUACCAAUGCAAUGUGAGAGGUACUAUCAUCCUUCCUUAGUUCUUACUAAUGCCAUAUAAUUCAAGCAUUUUAAUGUUGAUGUUGCUACUGUAACACGGUAUGGUAUUUUUUCCCAUAUCUGAGAUAUGCUCAGAGUAAUGGGUAUGUAAUUAUCGAUGAUUUUAGAUUUUGCAGGAUGGUAUCUUCAUGUAUCUUAUCACCAUAUAGACUUACUAAUGCACAUUUUAGUAGAACAAGAAUCAUUCUUCACUAUUUUCGUUCUGAUGAGUUGUAGCACUACUUAUUUGGGCAUAUAGAUUUGAGCUUCGUGUUCUUGUGAUAUUUCACAUACUACCAAUUACCCUCUGAAUCUAUAUGCCUUCUGCAUCUAAUGUUAUACUACGGGUAUCAUGAUCAGUGCUACAAUUUAAGUAGUGCCUCUAUGUUGUUAUAAAAGAAAUACACAAUCCUGGAAUUUAGAUGCUUAAGAAACCAAUGAUUUUUUAUGCUAACUUUGGUGCAGGGCUGCAGGUCAACUGAUAGGAGGACUUUUGAAUGAUUGGGAUCUUCAAGAAAUAGGUUCAAACGAAGUAGGUGGGAGGGUUGGCGGGAAAGCACCGAGAUAAUGCAGUAGUUUUGGCUUCAUUAUUUUGUACUCCAUAUCUCUAAUGUAAUUUGGUCUUUUACAAUAUAUUUGAUUUACAACCAACAAACCUCAGGUUAUAAAGUAUCACUAAUCCAUUUAAUCUUCUGUUGGACGCUGAUUUAGAGGCUCUUGACCUGCCAUUACAUUUGUUAGAAUGGGGUGACAUUGAGAAGAGUAUACCUAACGAAGGGCUCAACAAGGCAAUCAUCGAGGCCUCUAUUGUGAAGAUCUUGUGGGAUGGCAACCAUUCUUGUUUCUUUCCUGGUAAUAAUAAUCGGAGCAAUAUUGUGAACCCUAAUGAUUAUCAGGAAAAGGUAGUCAAAUCCCAGCAAGUCCAAGAUACCUUGCAGAAUAAUACAUGAUUGUGAAAUAUAGCAGGUAAUCUCACAGACUCCUGACAAUUUUGUAUUGUUAACUCUUGCACUGUAUCGGUUUACUUAUACUAUUCAUUACUGAAAAUCUACACUGAGCUAAGUCAUGAUUUCAUAUUUGAAUGUUUCGGCAUUUUGAAUAGUUAUCUAUGUUAUAUCCUCUUUUGUUGAAAAUGAAUUCUUUUGCAUCUCUACGACACUCUUAUUCAUGGUAGUAAUUCUUAAAAACUGAUUCAAUGCCCUAAAAAAUGGGUGUCAUAUGAGUCUAUUAACCCUGUGAAGGAAUACAUCUAUUUUAGUUCCAUGAGCUUGCACCUCUCCAACACAUCUCAAAGGAAUUCUGAACUACUGUUGUAAGUUUCUUUGUCACGGUUACUUAAUUGAAACAUUUGAAUAUGCUUGUGAUAUUUCCAGCAAGCCUUUUCAAUGAAAAAAUCUUGAUAAUAUUAGUUUUUCUCUUUUAUAGUCCCCUGUUUUUUCUCAAUAUUGAACAUGAAUACCAUGAGAAUGCUACUGAGGUGUGCUUUCCUUUGGUGAAUUUAGCGACCUUCUCUCAUCAGGCUCCCAUGAAGGUCUACAGCGGCAGGGGACUGCCACAUCCAAUGAGGGCACCAUCAGUUAUCCUCUUCAUCUAUCUGUGUUGGUUACGCCUCGAUGCAUCGGCGCUGGACCUAGAGAAAAAUUGCUUGACCUAUAGUUCCUCUCUCAAUCUCUCACACACACGUUGGUAGACUUUUGUAGCAUUUCCCUCUAUUUUUCUUGAUGCUGGUAGGUUUUCAAGAUUGGCCAGACCCGUGCCAAAGGAUGAACAAUGAAGUGAACAACACGCUCCCCCAUAGCUGAGCUCGAAUGGAAAGCAGGUAAUUAGUACCCAAGCUCAUCUCUUCCUCAUGGCUCUCUCUCUAUUUAAUUUGCAGGAAUCAUUUAUGUUUGUACAGAUUCCUUAUAUCUUCGCCUACGAGGAAUCUACAGCUUAUUCUCAUGUUUUUUUUCAUACUCUUAAAUUUUGGUUGAGCAUAUAUGAACAACCAAAAGUGAGUUGUUUUCUUAACUAUUUAAGGUAAUGGUAUUUUUUUUAGUCAUGUACUGGUAUUUUUUUAAACACUACCUCAUAGGAUGGAAGAUAUGAAUAUUGGUGUGUUGCAGGUUCUCGAACCUAUUUGGAUUAUGCAUGUCAAAUGUUCUUUUCUGAAAAUUUACCCUCCCCUUACAGACAUGGCCUUGGAUUUGUGUCACCUAUCUCUUCAUGUCUGAAUGCAGGCUCGGUUCCAAUCAUGGUUUGUAUUAAGUGUUGUAAGAUCAGUCUUCACUGGAUCUGAACUUGCUUUACCUUUUCCUAUCGGCUAGGUAAAGACACCAAAUUCAGUAAGCUGCCAUGGUGUUAAUUAGUGGCCUCUGGGAAAAGUCGGAGCACGUGCAGACACUACCUUGUGCCAAUACUGGCGGCGGCGCAUCGACUAAAUCGCUGGUCGAAGCACCAGACCAAAGACUCUGAAGACCGCCGCUGAGAUGUCAAAUAAUACCAAACCAGUUUCAAUCUGUGAUGAUAAAGUCGAUGAAAAAUACAACACAUUUAAGCCAUUUGAUACUGUUAAUGGUCAUAGUGAUCAUUAUUAUCCGAAACCAGAGUUAAGGCUGGUUCACAUAGUUAAGGCCCUAUUUAUUCUUUGCCAUCUUAUAGCAGUACUAAGUUUGUCCUGUCCACAGCCAUCAAAAGACUGGGCGAAGCGUAUUCAGCGUGAGUGUGAAAGCUUAGAAAAAGAUUUGCCCAGAUAGUUAACUCUUGCUUCUUAUACUCAAUAUUUUUUAUGAACUACCUCUUGGGUACCAACUUUUCCACUCAGUAUCUUGACGCUAUUAGUUCAAAUCUAAUAUGGAUAGCUCAACUAAACGCUGAGCCCAUUCGGCUUUAGGUAAUGAGUGUACUUGCAUUGCCGUGCUACACUAAUAUAAAGUUCUCGAGAUAUAAUUGGUUUCAGUUCUUGCACAUCCGGUUCCUAUUUCUGUUAGCUACUUUGGCAGAUUACACCAUCUGCAGCUAACAUUAUGUGUCUAAUGGAUAGUUUAGUAGACAGCUGGUUAACUGCUUCCUCAAAUGACUGUACGAUGCAAAGCUGUGGUUCUUUUCGAAGGAAAAGCCAAACUGCACUAGCCUUUGCUUGCUUUCAUAUAGCACAGAGGUUGAUUAUUGGGUGAAUAUGAUUGCAGCCACUUCAUUGCUUAGGAACGGCGGCUGUCUGAUUGAGCUUGCCAGCCGAUCUGAGCUAUUUAUUUUUUCACUGCCUGAAAUAGAGUACUGCAAGGAAACAAAUGUUGAGAGCACCCUCCAAAGGAAAAGGUUCAUGUACAAAAUCUGUAUCAUGAUAAAGGUUUGUGUAUUAGGUGAACUUUGGACAUUAGAUGAUAUGUGAGAAGAAACUGACUGGAUACUGCUUUCACAUCCUCUCAAGAAUCAAGGUGUUGGAGUACUGUUUUCUUUCACUUGAAACUGUAGGAUUUUAUGUCCUCAUGUGCCAGCAUGAUGAUACUUAGUUCACCAUUUUCUUAGUAGAUGCAGAAUUUUGUCCAUUCA